Molecule: long non-coding RNA, 2993 nt
Filed under: Salmo salar (Atlantic salmon)
Lineage: Eukaryota; Metazoa; Chordata; Actinopteri; Salmoniformes; Salmonidae
Description: lncRNA (ENSSSAG00000084304.1)
Rfam family: UnaL2 LINE 3' element (bases 314-368)
Source: RNAcentral
UCUGAUCAGGCCCUACACCCAAACAAGGGCACUGCGUUCAUCCACCACUGGCCUGCUGGCCCCCCUACCUCUGAGGAAGCACAGUUCCCGCUCAGCCCAGGCAAAACUGUUCGCUGCUCUGGCACCCCAAUGGUGGAACAAGCUCCCUCACGACGCCAGGACAGCGGAGUCAAUCACCACCUUCCGGAGACACCUGAAACCCCACCUCUUUAAGGAAUACCUAGGAUAGGAUAAAGUAAUCCUUCUAACCCCCCCCCUAAAAUAUUUAGAUGCACUAUUGUAAAGUGGUUGUUCCACUGGAUAUCAUAAGGUGAAUGCACCAUUUUGUAAGUCGCUUCUGGAUAAGAGCGUCUGCUAAAUGACUUAAAUGUAAAUGUAAAUGUUAUCCUGAAACCUUCAUGAUCUAAACAUGGAAUAUUGUUUGUCAGUUUCCAUAAAGCUAUGCACUAUCAUUUUGAGCAGUUGUAUCAAUUGAUAGUUAGAUCAUUGUAAUGAAAUGAAUAGACAGUCAUCUCAGAUGUAGUGUGUGAAUUUCAUUUUGAAAUGGUAAUACUUUGAUGUUAAGUUGUGUCAUUUUGAACAGAUGAUUUUAGUUCAAUGAACCAAUUAUCUUAGCUUUAUGUGCAUUGUAUCCAAGCAAUUGGAAAAAGUGUUAGAGUUUUGAAAAAUGUGCAUUUUGAUCAUUGGUUGUGAGUUUUGUGUCUAGAGUUUUGAAAAAUUACAUCAAGGUUCCGAAAUUAGUGCCAAAGUGAUAGUAAAAAAACUGUAUGAAAUGCCAUUGGUUAGUGGAUAUAAAGUCAUCUUUGAUAGGCAGAUGCGGAAUUUGUUACAGGAAAUAAUCACUGCCACCUGGUCAGGUAGGGCUAAACGUGCCAGGUUAUAUAAUGGGAACAACUAACGUAGCAUUUUAUCACGUGCAACUAUGUCAACGAUUUUUAUUGACUGAGAUAGAGAAAAAGUUGACACUUUUUCUAAUAUUUGCAUUUAUGGACCCAGAAUUUCUUCAGUGGAGAUGGAAACUAUUGGCUUUAUGGGUGGAACAGCAGUAAGUUACCCCAACCUAGUGUCUGACCUUUCAAUGCUAACUGCCUGCCAUCUGAUAAAGACAACCUACACUCAGACUAAUUGUCUGGAGAGAAAACACUGUGUGUGUGUGUGUGUGUGUGUGUGUGUGUGUGUGUGUGUGCGUGUGCGAGGAGGCAGUUGUGCAUGUUGUGUGUGUGUGUGUGUGUGUGUGUGUGUACGUGUGUGCGCACUAGGGGUGUAACUUGAUAGCAGUGCAAAUGAUGUCUUAGAUUAGGUUGUAUUGCACUGGGAGUUUAGCAUGUACUGUAGGGCUUAUCCUUCUAGAGUGUGGCAAGAUAUAAUGACUCUUGUUUCCUCUUCACUUCACACUUCCUAUUGUCAUUUUGAAAAGAUAAACACAUUUGGGCCAACGCUACAGUGAGAUAACAUCAUUAUCUAAAUGUUCCAGUCCUGCCAUGGCUAUCAUUUAAAAUGAUUAAAAUGAUUGUUUAAUUCCAGUCCAUGCGUAUCAUUGUCCAUUUUCUGAAGGCAACUUUGCCAUUCACGGCUCUAGAUAAUUCCAAGAAUUUAGACCUACAGUAGCUUUUAAUUUCAGCAGAAAGAUAGCACUGGGCGAAAAGGGUCAAUAUCAGGGGAUAUCUUUAUAGGCCUAUGAGAUAGGCCUAUGUGGACAACUUAUUUUCUCUAUAUGAUGACAAAUACUGACAGUUGGCCUACGUGGUAUAUUUUCUCAGCACAUACAAUGCAUAUGCUCCUGACUGAGGUCCAUAUCAGGAUCUUGAUAUGCUUUUUGUUAUGCUAAAUAAGGAACAUUUAUGCUUAUUUGACUCUUGGGGACAUGUUCAAUCAUUUAACAAAUAAUACAUCCAUAUAUCCAUUUUAUUUCAAACACUAGCUAAACUUUUUGUAAUCCAUCUGCAUAAAGGAACGCGCAAACCGCAAGCUAAAAGCACUGAACUGGUAGCCUAGCAACAAGAUUCACCUCUUUUCUGCUGUCUUUAUUUGGGCGCCACAAAUGAGUUUGUAAACGGUGUGUGGUCGAACUGACAACUGGAGAAACAAAGAAGUGAGAAGCUGUUCUGAAAAUACCUCAAAGAAGUUAACGCUAAAUUUGGAGUGGAUCACAGACCAGCACUGCCACCAUGUUGGAUAUGGAAUUCGAGGGACUGCCCCUGACAACCUAAUCUGCACCCAUUGCAUCCAUCGUCCGUAAUAACAAGGUGAGACACGGGCCAGCGAGGACUCACCGGCAGAGCCAGGACCCCAGAGGACAGCAACAUCUGCCAGACACAUCGUGGCCUCGUCCCCCCUGGGUGUCCAUGUGUCUGUCAGCACCUCGUCUGUCCAGGGAUGAGGUGAGGAUGAGGGGUUAGGAUGAAGGAUAAGGUCGAGGCAUUGGGGGGGUUGACCGGAGGGAGCAGGGGGACCUUGUUCACCCCUGGAACAUUGGUUUGACAAGCCUAUCCGCUGCUGGCCUAUGACCUCAGACUUGGCAGGUGUGUGUUUGAGAGAGGGGAGGAUGAGAGGAGGAUGAGACUGGGGAUGAGAUUAGAACACUGUACAUAGCCAUAAUAUGACAUUUGAAAUGUCUCUAUUCUUUUCAAACGUUUGAGCGUAAUAUUUACUGUUCAUUUUUUAUUGUUUAUUUCACUUUUGUUUAUUGUCAAUUUCACUUGCUUCGGGCAAAUUUAAACAUGUUUCCAAUGCCAAUAAAGCCCUUUAAAUUGAAUUGAUUGGGAAAAGAGAGACAAGGAGAGAGGGUGAGGACCAGCAGAAGAAACAUUAACAGCCACACACACACACUCCUGAUCUGUGUCUCAGCUAGCAGCCAUAUGGAAUUCUUCAGGAAGCACCAAAACACAGUGGUGAGGUUACAGGCUGAGUAUAACAAUCACAAUCCUCUAUACAAAGUCUGACCUUUAGAUGUACAGCAGGUUUAAACCAUGUACAACAGGUUCUUAUACCUG